RNAcentral lists this ribosomal RNA (497 nucleotides) under uncultured bacterium. RNAcentral's name for it is "partial 16S ribosomal RNA". It matches the Rfam family "Bacterial small subunit ribosomal RNA", at positions 28 to 507 of the family's 1533-position model. The record is from RNAcentral.
GAUGAACGCUGGCGGCGUGCCUAAUACAUGCAAGUCGAGCGAACGGACGAGAAGCUUGCUUCUCUGAUGUUAGCGGCGGACGGGUGAGUAACACGUGGAUAACCUACCUAUAAGACUGGGAUAACUUCGGGAAACCGGAGCUAAUACCGGAUAAUAUUUUGAACCGCAUGGUUCAAAAGUGAAAGACGGUCUUGCUGUCACUUAUAGAUGGAUCCGCGCUGCAUUAGCUAGUUGGUAAGGUAACGGCUUACCAAGGCAACGAUGCAUAGCCGACCUGAGAGGGUGAUCGGCCACACUGGAACUGAGACACGUUCCAGACUCCUACGUGAGGCAGCAGUAGGGAAUCUUCCGCAAUGGGCGAAAGCCUGACGGAGCACCGCCGCGUGUGUGAUGAAGGUCUUCGGAUCGUAAAACUCUGUUAUUAGGGAAGAACAUAUGUGUAAGUAACUGUGCACAUCUUGACGUUACCUAAUCAGAAAGCCACGGCUAACUACGUG